RNAcentral lists this ribosomal RNA (464 nucleotides) under Vreelandella stevensii. RNAcentral's name for it is "partial 16S ribosomal RNA". It matches the Rfam family "Bacterial small subunit ribosomal RNA", at positions 338 to 795 of the family's 1533-position model. The record is from RNAcentral. Lineage: Bacteria; Pseudomonadati; Pseudomonadota; Gammaproteobacteria; Oceanospirillales; Halomonadaceae.
CCUAGGGUGGCUGCAGUGGGGAAUAUUGGACAAUGGGCGAAAGCCUGAUCCAGCCAUGCCGCGUGUGUGAAGAAGGCCUUCGGGUUGUAAAGCACUUUCAGUGGGGAAGAAAGCCUUGGGGCUAAUACCCUCGAGGAAGGACAUCACCCACAGAAGAAGCACCGGCUAACUCCGUGCCAGCAGCCGCGGUAAUACGGAGGGUGCGAGCGUUAAUCGGAAUUACUGGGCGUAAAGCGCGCGUAGGCGGUCUGAUAAGCCGGUUGUGAAAGCCCCGGGCUCAACCUGGGAACGGCAUCCGGAACUGUCAGGCUAGAGUGCAGGAGAGGAAGGUAGAAUUCCCGGUGUAGCGGUGAAAUGCGUAGAGAUCGGGAGGAAUACCAGUGGCGAAGGCGGUCUUCUGGACUGACACUGACGCUGAGGUGCGAAAGCGUGGGUAGCAAACAGGAUUAGAUACCCCAGUAGUC